This 468-nucleotide ribosomal RNA is filed under the name uncultured bacterium. RNAcentral describes it as "partial 16S ribosomal RNA". It matches the Rfam family "Bacterial small subunit ribosomal RNA", at positions 28 to 507 of the family's 1533-position model. The record is from RNAcentral.
GACGAACGCUGGCGGCGUGCUUAACACAUGCAAGUCGAACGGAAAGGCCCUGCUUUUGUGGGGUGCUCGAGUGGCGAACGGGUGAGUAACACGUGAGUAACCUGCCCUUGACUUUGGGAUAACUUCAGGAAACUGGGGCUAAUACCGGAUAGGAGCUCCUGCUGCAUGGUGGGGGUUGGAAAGUUUCGGCGGUUGGGGAUGGACUCGCGGCUUAUCAGCUUGUUGGUGGGGUAGUGGCUUACCAAGGCUUUGACGGGUAGCCGGCCUGAGAGGGUGACCGGCCACAUUGGGACUGAGAUACGGCCCAGAAUCCUACGGGAGGCAGCAGUGGGGAAUAUUGCACAAUGGGCGGAAGCCUGAUGAAGCAGCGCCGCGUGCGGGAUGACGGCCUUCGGGGUGUAAACCGCUUUCGCCUGUGACGAAGCGUGAGUGACGGUAAUGGGUAAAGAAGCACCGGCUAACUACGUG